Molecule: transfer-messenger RNA, 347 nt
Filed under: Acutalibacteraceae
Lineage: Bacteria; Bacillati; Bacillota; Clostridia; Eubacteriales
Also listed under: 1 other name
Description: Ruminococcus_E sp902766775 Standard tmRNA
Rfam family: transfer-messenger RNA
About the family: Bacterial tmRNA, also known as 10Sa RNA or SsrA, is named for its dual tRNA and mRNA-like properties. Its role is to liberate the mRNA from a stalled ribosome.
Source: RNAcentral
GGGGAUGUAAAGGUUUCGACGGGGAUUUCAAACCUUGGUAAGCGAGCGGCGGUGCGGAACCGCCAUAAAAUCCGCAACUUUAAAAUUAACUGACAACAAAACAGUUGCUUUAGCAGCCUGAGUGCUGCUCGUUCCUGCACAGAGUACCUCGGCUGUGUAAGGGGCGUCGAUUAGAGGUAAAUGUGAACAGGGGAGCGCUCCGAACCCUGUCACAGCUUAGGAGCUGCCAAAGUGCAUAGCCUGUUGAUGGGCGAUGCACCGAGGGAGAUUUAAAACACCAACUGCGCUCGGAGAAACCCUUGGCAAGAUUUUUUCGGACAGGAGUUCGACUCUCCUCAUCUCCACCA